RNAcentral lists this ribosomal RNA (158 nucleotides) under Codonanthopsis chiricana. Its description in RNAcentral is "5.8S ribosomal RNA". It matches the Rfam family "5.8S ribosomal RNA". Rfam says of the family: 5.8S ribosomal RNA (5.8S rRNA) is a component of the large subunit of the eukaryotic ribosome. It is transcribed by RNA polymerase I as part of the 45S precursor that also contains 18S and 28S rRNA. RNAcentral also lists the same sequence under 1 other name. The record is from RNAcentral. Lineage: Eukaryota; Viridiplantae; Streptophyta; Magnoliopsida; Lamiales; Gesneriaceae.
AAAUGACUCUCGGCAACGGAUAUCUUGGCUCUCGCAUCGAUGAAGAACGUAGCGAAAUGCGAUACUUGGUGUGAAUUGCAGAAUCCCGUGAACCAUCGAGUCUUUGAACGCAAGUUGCGCCCGAAGCCAUUAGGUUGAGGGCACGCCUGCCUGGGCGU